Molecule: ribosomal RNA, 253 nt
Filed under: uncultured bacterium
Lineage: Bacteria
Description: partial 16S ribosomal RNA
Rfam family: Bacterial small subunit ribosomal RNA
Source: RNAcentral
UACGUAGGUGGCUAGCGUUGUCCGGAUUUACUGGGCGUAAAGAGCGCGCAGGCGGUCGUUCAAGUCGCGUGUGAAAGCCCCCGGCUCAACUGGGGAGGGUCACGCGAUACUGAUCGACUCGAAGGCAGGAGAGGGUAGUGGAAUUCCCGGUGUAGUGGUGAAAUGCGUAGAUAUCGGGAGGAACACCUGUGGCGAAGGCGGCUUUCUGGGCCUUACCUGACGCUGAGACGCGAAAGCGUGGGGAGCGAACCGG